This 183-nucleotide unclassified non-coding RNA is filed under the name Glomeraceae sp. Its description in RNAcentral is "partial contains 5.8S ribosomal RNA and internal transcribed spacer 2". The stretch from base 1 to 72 matches the Rfam family "5.8S ribosomal RNA", at positions 84 to 154 of the family's 154-position model. Lineage: Eukaryota; Fungi; Glomeromycota; Glomeromycetes; Glomerales; Glomeraceae. The record is from RNAcentral.
GUUAAUCAUCGAAUUUUUGAACGCAAAUUGCACUCUCCGGUUUUCCGGGAGAGUAUGCCUGUUUGUGGGUCAGCCUAAAAAAAAAAUCGACAUUUUUGCUGUUUUAUGGUUUCUUUCGUCGGAGAAGGGUUCUCUUUAAUCUCGGUUUAAGCGACUUCAAAAUUUUUAUUACGUUUUUAUGAU